This 1934-nucleotide long non-coding RNA is filed under the name Helianthus annuus (common sunflower). RNAcentral's name for it is "hypothetical non coding rna". The record is from RNAcentral. Lineage: Eukaryota; Viridiplantae; Streptophyta; Magnoliopsida; Asterales; Asteraceae.
GCACACCCAAAGAUCCCUGCCCCCAAGUUGAAGCUGGUCAAAAUUAUAUCCAUCUUAAAACCACUCCUGCACCGUCAUCUCCUCCAAACACCCAUCUCAAAACCACCUCCAACCUCAUCGCAGGCCCAUCUCAAAACCACCUACUGCACCAUCUUCCCACCACCAUUGCAAUCGCAGAUCUAAAAUAGUGAUUUGGGGGUUGGGCGGUGGAUCUGAGAUCUGAAAUUGCGAUUUGGGGGUUGGGCGAAGUGACAACCGUGAAUGUUAUUAGUUGCAGAGGUUCUAGAAGGGGUGGUUGGGGUAGCAGUGGCGGCAGUUGGUUCUCUUCAAUGAUGAAGGGGAUAGCUUCAGGCGAGGUGGUAGGAGUGGCGGCAGAGGCGGUUCUAGAAGUGAUGGAGUUGCUUAUCAUGGUGGUGAUGGUGUUGGUGAUUAUGAUGGGGCUGUAAAGGAUGAGGUUAACGAUUGGUUGUGGGGUUUGAAGGAUAAAAUUGUUGGGGUUUUUUUUUGGGUAAUUACUCAAGUCUUUUUAAUCACCUUAAUGGAUUGAUUGGGUUGUUAAUUUUGGAUUGAGUUGGAGUCAGCCGCCCGAAAUUAUCCGAAAGGUGAACGUCCGAAGCUAAGGGCUUGGUUUAUGUCGGUUAUUGUGCCAUUUCCUUGUUUUUUAUAUUGUUUUUUUUUCAAUGACGGUUGAGAUUGGGUUCUUUUGAAAAUGUUGAAGCUUCAAUAAAUCAAUGGAGGAUGGAGAAGAUGUACAGGAUAAGAGUAGGUUGAGGAUUUUUAUUUUAAUAUUAAAAGUUUUAUACUUACCCUUUUAAUUAAAGUAAACUACAUAGUAGGUCCCUCUAAUUAAAGGUUUUAUUUACACCCAUUAAAAAGAAUCCAAUUUAAAACAAACUAGUUAUAAAAAUUCCAAUAAAAAAAUUGGUUAGGUGUGUAAUACAAUUUCUAUGCUUUUAUUUUUUUUUAAUGUGGUUCGCUUUUUAUUUAGAUAUUAAUAUUUUCACUAAUUAUUUAAACAUUUAUUAUUUGGACAUGAAUUACAGACAAGUGAAAUUUGUAUAAUUGGAGAAGAUAGAAAGAGUAAAGUAUGUAAGAAGUUUUUUACUAUAUAAUAAUAUUAAAAGAACUACAUUAACCCUAUAUAAUCAAAGUAGAUUAAAAAAAUCCAAUUAAGAAAAAAUUUCGGUGCAUAUGUAUUUAUUUAUUUUUUUUUAUCAAAUUUACUUUUUUUUAUUUUAGAUAUUACCUAUUUAAGUAAUUGAAUUUAAAGAAAAAAAGAGGUGAUGAUGUGGAAAAUCUAAGGAUAUGUAAGGAUAUUUGUAUGGUUGAAGAUGAAAUUGAGAGGUUUUAAGGAUUUGUAAGGAUUUUUAAGGAUCUGUAUGGAUAUGAUGUGGCAGCUGACUAGGCAACUAAGGACGCCUAAGGACUCCUUAGCAUUGGAGAUAGUCUUAGGGGAAUGAUUUGCACAUGGUAGGUUGGUAAUAAAAGAGACAUUAAAUGACAAAUGUACCCUCAUGUGACCUGCACAUGGUCACAUUUAACUGAAAAAACAAACUGAGUUAUGCCUAAAGGACAAAACGUGAUCGAUUUUAAAAUAACACUUGAUAAAAAAAUGUAGAAGUUUUAUAAUACUAAUUAAAAAAAAUGGUGACGUUUUAUAAUAACACUUGAUAAAAAAAUGUAGAAGUUUUAUAGUACUAAUUAAAAAAAAAAUGGUGACGUUUUAUACUAAGAGUUGAUAAAAAAUGUAGAAGUUUUAUAAAACUAAUUUAAAAAAAGUUGACGUUUUAUACUAACACUUGAUAAAAAAUGUAGAAGUUUUAUAAUAUUAAUUAUAAAAAAUAUUGACGUUUUAUAAUAAUAAUUAACUAAUAAAAAUGUUGCCAUUUUUCUAAAUAUAUUAAAUAAAAAAUGACAUUUAUAUACCUUCCUUU